AACGAACGCUGGCGGCAUGCCUAACACAUGCAAGUCGAACGAGACCUUCGGGUCUAGUGGCGCACGUGUGCGUAACGCGUGGGAACCUGCCCUUAGGUUCGGAAUAACUCCCCGAAAGGGGUGCUAAUACCGGAUAAUGUCUUCGGACCAAAGAUUUAUGGCCUUUGGAUGGGCCCGCGUUGGAUUAGCCAGUUGGUAGGGUAAAAGCCUACCAAGGCGACGAUCCAUAGCUGGUCUGAGAGGAUGAUCAGCCACACUGGGACUGAGACACGGCCCAGACUCCUACGGGAGGCAGCAGUGGGGAAUAUUGGACAAUGGGCGAAGGCCUGAUCCAGCAAUGCCGCGUGAGUGAUGAAGGCCUUAGGGUUGUAAAGCUCUUUUACCCGGGAUGAUAAUGACAGUACCGGGAGAAUAAGCUCCGGCUAACUCCGUG
RNAcentral lists this ribosomal RNA (433 nucleotides) under uncultured bacterium. Its description in RNAcentral is "partial 16S ribosomal RNA". It matches the Rfam family "Bacterial small subunit ribosomal RNA", at positions 29 to 507 of the family's 1533-position model. The record is from RNAcentral.